CCUACGGGAGGCAGCAGUGGGGAAUCUUGCACAAUGGAGGAAACUCUGAUGCAGCGAUGCCGCGUGAGUGAAGAAGGCCUUUGGGUUGUAAAACUCUUUUGUAGGGGAAGAUAAUGACUGUACCCUAAGAAUAAGGUCCGGCUAACUUCGUGCCAGCAGCCGCGGUAAUACGAAGGGACCUAGCGUAGUUCGGAAUUACUGGGCGUAAAGCGCGCGUAGGCCGUUGAGUUAGUUAAUUGUGAAAUCCCAAAGCUUAACUUUGGAACUGCAAUUAAAACUGCUCGACUAGAGUUUGAUAGAGGAAAGCGGAAUACAUAGUGUAGAGGUGAAAUUCGUAGAUAUUAUGUAGAACACCAGUUGCGAAGGCGGCUUUCUGGAUCAACACUGACGCUGAGGCGCGAAAGUAUGGGUAGCAAAGAGGAUUAGAUACCCUCGUAGUCCAUACCAUAAACGAUGAUUGCUAGAUGUUGGAAAUUUAUUUUCAGUAUCGCANCUACGACAUANACAUCNCUGGNGACGACGCAGUAAACUACAAGAAGUAGAGCGNGAGAGNGCGAGACGACGACGAGGAGAG
Molecule: ribosomal RNA, 574 nt
Filed under: uncultured bacterium
Lineage: Bacteria
Description: bacterial SSU rRNA
Rfam family: Bacterial small subunit ribosomal RNA (bases 1-512)
Source: RNAcentral